Molecule: long non-coding RNA, 397 nt
Filed under: Mytilus galloprovincialis (Mediterranean mussel)
Lineage: Eukaryota; Metazoa; Mollusca; Bivalvia; Mytilida; Mytilidae
Source: RNAcentral
CCCCUUUGGAGCAAUAACCCUUAAACUCAAUCCCAUGCUUUCCUUUGUAAUAUUGAACCUUGUAGUAUGAUUUCAGAGAGAUCCAUACACUUAUAAACACAAGUUAUUGUCAUGAUUGUUUGGAAACUAGAAACAUGCUUCUUUUUGGCCCUUAAUUCCUACAUAUUUUGGGCAAUUAACCCAAAACUUAAUCCCAGCCUCCCCUUUGUUAUAUGGUACAUUGUGGUACAAUUUCAGAGCGAUCCAUGCAAUUACACACAAGGUAUUGUCUGGAAACUAGAAAAAUGCUUGUUUUGGCCCCUUUUGGCCCUUAAUUCCUAAACUUUGGCCCCAUAACCCCUUAAAUGAAUCCAAACCUUCUACUUGUGAUUUUAAACAUUGCAGUAUACUUUCAGAG